AACUAAUAGAUUGUAUUUUUAGGAAAACGAUCAUGACACUGUCUACAAAAUUAAUAAGUCUCGAGUGAGUGAAAAAUUCGAAUCAGCAGCUAGAAGUGAUAAUGGUUUAAUUUAUUACAAGAACUUAGCUUUUGCUAGUAAAACUAAAUAUGGAAUAGAUAUCACGGAGGGCAAGUCUGAUGAAGAUUAUGAGCAGAUAAAAAAUAAUUCAAUCACAAUGGAGCAAGCAAUGGAAUUAUUUAAUGAAUCGGAAAAUGAAAGUAUAAAAAAAUUAUCUGAUGUUUUGCAAAAAUAUGCAAAUAACGGAUAUAUUACUAUGAAGCUAGCACGAUUUAUAUUUUUGCUACAUGAUUUAGAUGAAGAAAUAAUAGAGAAAACUCUAUAUAAAUUGAGUAGGGAUCCCAAUCAAUUACUUAAAGUGGAAGGGUUCUAUCAAUCAUUAAUCUUAAUAAAGAAACCUCAGUUUUGAAAUAGAAUUUAUAAAAAAUGAUGGUUCCAGUUAAUGAUUAUCGUGUUGAAAAUUAACAUUAUUUCACUUUUAUAAAAACGUUUUGUAUCUUAAAUGUUUUUAUACAAUCCUAAAAGAAAUAUUUACAAUAGUAAUUAACAAAAAUUAUUUUUUUUCAGAUGUCAUAAAUUGCUUAAAAUGAAAUGUAUUACAUUAUUUAUAUGUAAAUAUCUAUAAAUAUACUUCUAUUUGAGUA
Molecule: long non-coding RNA, 704 nt
Organism: Daktulosphaira vitifoliae (grape phylloxera)
Lineage: Eukaryota; Metazoa; Arthropoda; Insecta; Hemiptera; Phylloxeridae
Exons: 3
Source: RefSeq, a predicted model, not a curated record